This 1593-nucleotide unclassified non-coding RNA is filed under the name Hevea brasiliensis (rubber tree). The record is from RNAcentral. Lineage: Eukaryota; Viridiplantae; Streptophyta; Magnoliopsida; Malpighiales; Euphorbiaceae.
CGCUUCCCCGCUUCUAUAAGAGCCCACACUCGCUCCUCGCACCAGCCUCAUUUAUCCGUUUCUGCUAUAUUUUUCUCUCACCUAGGGUUAGGGUUUUUUUCUGUCUAAAACUCUCUUGCUUUUUCUCUCUCUAAGGCAUCAAUGGCUCAGCAGGAAACCCAGAACGGAGACUCCAUCAAGGCUGAUGCUGAGAUAACUUUUACCGCCGUGAAGCUGCAGGUGUUGGUUGAGGCACCAAAGGCAAAUGACGCCGUGCAGUUCUACAAGGCAGCGUUUGGAGCCGUGGAAACUGGUCGUACCACUCAGCCCAAGCGCAAGGCUGAACAGGAGCUCCCUCACAUCAUCUCAGCUCAGCUUCAGCUCGCUGGUUCAACCAUUAUUGUAUCUGACCUCGCUGAUGACUCUGCACCGGUGAAGACUGGGGGAACCGGAAUCACUGUCUGCUUGGAGACCGAGGAUGCUGAAGCUGCUAUAUCCAAGGCCGUGGCCGCGGGAGCAGUCGCCGAGGGGGAGAUUCUCGAGGGCGAUGGAGCAUGCUGCGGUGCUGGGCGCGUGGGCAAGGUGAAGGAUCCUUAUGGGUUAGUGUGGGUCAUUUCUUCUCCUGCCAAGAAGUCGAACACUGACGUGGAAGCUUAGAGGCCGCUCGAUCCGAUCUCGAUCCUGACCUUCUAAUUAGUCGUAGUUGUUUCUUUCGUAGUCUGGCUUGUUUAGGUUUUGACUUGAAUGCAAUGCCGGGACCCUUCCUGUCAGGAAAAAAUUAUAUGCUUCUACCUCUUUAGGUGAUGGAUAGGGUGGAUGCUGGAGGUUGCUCUUGGCUAUUAAAUACUAAGAUCUAGUUCAGGAUGGAUAUUUUUCGUAAUUUUUGAAAAAUAUUAACUGACAGCUGGCAGUUAUCGACUUUAAAACUAGUGUUCAGCAGCUUUUGGAUUUCUAUUUUGUUGUUUGCUCUGUUAUUUAAUUAAGUUGUGUUUAUUAUAAUAUCCAAUAAGUUGUGAAAUAGUGAAGUCUCUGGCAGGUGUCAGUGCCAUCAGGAGCAUUGUGGAAAGUGGGAUGUUAAAUAUCCUAUGGAUGAGUGGAUAUGGAUAAUCCUGAGCAGUGGGUGUUGUUCUAAUCUUAAUUCUUGAAUAUUUAAAUCAGUAUAAUUACCAACCAUAUGGAUAUUGUUUCGACUUUGGAGAUUUCCUCGCAUGGGGAGUGUCUGGAGAGGAGCUUGUUUGAGGCUUGGAUGAUAAGUUAAUUAUAGAUAAUUUGGGGAUGAAAUGUGAGGAGACUUUGGUUGUAAGGCUAUCUGUCCCGUGUCAAUUGCGGUGAGGUUGUUGUAUAUGCGUGGUCCCAAAGGCCUCUGUCGUCCGGCUGAAAGUGGUUUUUCCUUGGGGAUGGGGUUCUCGUGAGGAUUUAGAGAGUUGUUACUGUCUUAUUAAUGCCUUGUUGAUAAGUUUGCUGUUUUGAACUUGUGACGUGGAACGAGUUUGGAUUUUUAAACAGAAUUAAUUUCAGAUGAAAAUUCAUGAUUACUUUUGCAAAUACAAUUCAAACAAAAGAAAAUCGAUUCAAGCUCGAUCAAACAUGAAUGGUACUACAUGUACAACUGGG